GUAUGCCGCAAGUGCGGCCCUUAAAAAAAAAAAAAAGAAAGUUAAAAACCUUUAGCUGUUCAUUUCUAGGGAGACCAAUACAUUAAACAGGAAGAAGCUAAGUCAGCAGUGAUCAUCAGAACAAAUAAAAUCCUAAGAGGACCACCAACUGAUGACUUAACCAAAAAUCCUGCUGUCACUGCUGGAAGGAUGGUGAAACCAAAAGUGGAGCUAUAAGGUGACACACAUACAAGUGCCACUUCCCGUCAUAGAAGGUCAGUGGAAAAUGAACUAGUGCGUGUAGGACAGGACGGUUAGCUCUGCGGUACUUGGCGAGGGGAGACACACGUGGUUCUCUUCCAUUAUAGGCCUAGUGCUCUUUGGUUCUGUAAACUGUAUUAUCAUGUGUGUCGCUUUGGUGGAAAGACACUUGCGUAGGCAGGAAAGGGGUGUGGGCUGGAGAUUCAGGUUUGAGAGUUCCUUGUCUGUGAGAUUCCUUGGGAAGAGCAUGGGCGAGGAGAGCCGAGGGUGGAAGCCCGAGGAGUGCCCGUGUCUGAGGGAAGAAGAGACUGGGACGGCGCCUCCCAGAUGUUCUCAAGUGGGUGUGUUUGCCUCUAGUGAUUAGGAGGAGGUGGUCAUGAGAAGGCAGAGGUGUUGGAAGGUGGUAACGUUUAGGGGUCCAGGGCAGGGGGUGUUGCCAGAGACAGGACGGUUGCCCAGGACGAGAGAGAUCCUUGUUGUAAAUGUGCUUGAGUGAGAGUGACUGACCACUGGAGUGGGCAGUGAGGACAUCUCUGGUAACCUCAGCACGAAGUGAGCUAGCGAGUGGGGGCUGAAGAGAGAUCGGGAUGCAGGGGUUUGUUUUUGUUUGUUUGCUUUUGUCACAGAAGGAAGCACCUUUUAUUGUUGUGUUGUUGUUUGUUUGUUUUCUCACUGUGCCCAGGGCAUGUGGAAGUUCCCUGGUCUGGGAUUGAACCCACCUCUGCAGUGAUAACACCCAGUCCUUCACCCACUGCACCACGGGGGGAAUCCCGAGAGGUGGCGAUUUGAAGUGCUACAGCAGCAGUGAGGUGGCACUUAACCCCGAGAGCCGUGUCUCCAGGUAGCCAGGUGACACGUCCAGGUGCCAUGGAGGACGUGAGACCGAACAUGCAGAGAUGACCAAACUCAUCCACCACGCAGACCCUGGUGAUCAGAAUGGUGUGAGCUAUUUGUAUUUGGAAGGGAGCCGCUCCAGAGGAGAUCCAGAGCGUCUUAUGCCACAGAAGGUUCCAGAAGAGAAGCCUGCUGCUCUGAGGAGCAGGCAUUGCCAAGCCAUUGAGACAUCUUAUCCAGGAUGGGGAGAGAGAGGCAUUUGGCAGAGAUCUUUGGCCAGCAGUCUGAGAGGGGGCUGGACGUGGAGGCUGCUUCAGUGACGCAGAGACUGCAUCACAGUUUCUGGCUAACAAGACCCGAGAAUCCUGCUGGUAACAGGUGGCACUCACACUGUGCUUCCUCUGCGCCUGGCCCGUCUUGAGCACAUCCGUCCUCUGAAUUAAUUGGUGGAGCCUCAGGGCAGCACUAGGAGACAGUGUGCCAUGAGGGAUCGACCUUGGCCCCUGCUCCUCAGAGGUGACCUCGAAGCACUUGGCGUGCCCUUCCUGAUAGAUUAUUUCAACAGUCAGAGGCUUGGGCGAGGAUGAAAAAUUACUCCCUGGGUCCUCUUCUCCAGACCCGCCUCGCUAGUUCUCCUAAAGCCACCUCGGAUCAGCGCAGCGAUCCAGCUACAAAUCAGGGUGUUACCCAGACUCAGAGGAGCUACCUGACUUUCUGGAAUGGGCGGGGAAAAGCAGCCUGUGUCCAGAGCCACACGCCUCAGAAAGCACCACUGGCCAUGUGAGGAGCCCCGACCCGAGAGAUAGGUGGGCCCCUGGGCGGGGUCAGCGUUACCUGAUCCUCUGAAUGCGGCAGUCGUUCCCACUCAGCACGCUGCCCAGCAGCUCCAUCACCGGGUCCUGGAACUGGUUGGCAUCCAGCCUGGUGGAGACGAGGAACAGCGUGAGUGAGUGGUCCUGCCGCCGCCGCCCAAGGACAGACGGGAAGAGGCUCCUGGCAAAGGGCUGACCUCAGGGCAGCAGAGGGGGCGCUGGGCUCUGACACCCAGGCCGGGGUCCUUCCCCCUCCUCCUCCAUCCCAACGAGAUCCCACUGAGAGGCUCAGACUUUUUCUGUGAGGAUGACCUGGGAGGCUCGGGGGGGUUCCGACCAGGGGGGCGUUUUGCCAGCAGCGUGCACGCUGAGGGCAUCUGCAGGACUCCAGAUGCCUUCUGAGGAUGUGGAAGCUGCUCUGAGGUCCUGCAUGGCCCUGGUCCCACAGCCUCUCCUGCCCUCCCUGCCGAGGUCCAGGCUGAGGACCGAGGAUGGUGGGCUGAGGGGUGAGCAGUGCGGCCUGGGUCAGCGUCCAGAUGGUUUCAGGGUGUUUAGCUUGAAUCGCUACGGCCACAGCCACACCGGAUCCGAGCUGCAUCUGUGAGCUAUGCCAC
Long non-coding RNA from Phacochoerus africanus (Common warthog), 2500 nucleotides. RefSeq lists it as uncharacterized. Lineage: Eukaryota; Metazoa; Chordata; Mammalia; Artiodactyla; Suidae. The transcript is spliced from 6 exons. The record is from RefSeq and is a predicted model, not a curated record.